Oryzias latipes (Japanese medaka) is the source of this 1085-nucleotide long non-coding RNA. RefSeq lists it as uncharacterized. The record is from RefSeq and is a predicted model, not a curated record. Lineage: Eukaryota; Metazoa; Chordata; Actinopteri; Beloniformes; Adrianichthyidae.
AACAAAAAUGUUGCUAUGUUCAGGGUCUUAUAAUGAUAAAAAGAGAGUUCAACCAAUAAAUGCAAAGAAAACAAGUUAAACUAAAAAAAGUCAAACAAAAGUUAGAAAUAGGGAAUAUGUUUAUAAAAAACCCUUUGUCCUCUUUUUGUCCAGUAACGUCUUCCCCUCUUUGUUGGGUACAGUUUGUCCACACACUUCCUGUAUUUAGUAACUUCCUCAGGGGGAACACGUUUUCCUCGUGCCUGACGAAUGUCAGUUCAACAAUUGGCCAGCAGCUGCAGAACCCCAGCAAUUGAUAAUUCCAAGAAAAAAGUCAGAGCAGCUUAACUUCAGAGUAAAAACUGAAGUUUGAACAUACAUGCCUCGAAGUGAAACACCACUUGAGGAUCUGGUGAAUUAAGAAGAAAGAACCAGGCCCUCUCUAGUUUCUCAGGCUGUUGGUGUGCAAAAUUCCCAGUUCUGACUGAGUGCCUGUAUCCAAAACAAAAAGAGGAGUGCAGCGCGGGAUGGGCCCACUGAUGCAGGAAAUGUGUGUUUGACUGUACAUGUUGAGUAAUGUAAAUAGCUCUGUGGUGCCUGUGAAAAUGUUUAGUGUGCAAGCUUUACAGGAAGAGAGCUGUCCCAGGAGCCACUGUCAUGGGAGGACAGAACAACUCUUGAUGUGAAAAAAGUGACAGAUUUUUUAUUUCACGGACAUACUUUCCCACAUAUGUUUAGGGUUUUAUUCUCCCUGAGGCCUGUAAAGCGGGCCUCUGCCAUGUGUGGCAUUGCAGGACAUUCUUCUGAAGAGUUUCCUGGUUGGAAUGGCUCCGGCCUUCAUCACAACAUACACUUACUUCCCUUGAGCGUAUGUGUGGUCAUUACUACUUCCCGAGUUCCACGAAAGCUACUGCUUUCUUUCCUGAAUGCUGCAUCCUUUUUAAAAAACACAGAGAAACUUGACACAUGAAUGCAACACGAGCCAGAAUUUACCAGCAGAAACACUACAAAAGGUUUUCAAGAAACCAAAUUUUAUUUAUUUAACUCAGUAGGGGUGGGAUUAUAUAAGUUCGCUUCUUCGCACUCCUUUUCAAGCAAUAAAUCAA